Molecule: ribosomal RNA, 253 nt
Filed under: uncultured bacterium
Lineage: Bacteria
Description: partial 16S ribosomal RNA
Rfam family: Bacterial small subunit ribosomal RNA
Source: RNAcentral
UACGAAGGGGGCUAGCGUUGCUCGGAAUCACUGGGCGUAAAGGGCGCGUAGGCGGCUCAUGAAGGCUGUGGUGAAAGUCCGGGGCUCAACCUCGGAUCGGCCGUGGCGACUCGUGGGCUGGAGCACUGUAGAGGCGGGUGGAAUUCCGGGUGUAGCGGUGGAAUGCGUAGAGAUCCGGAGGAAGACCGGUGGCGAAGGCGGUCUGCUGGGCAGUUUCUGACACUGAGGCGCGACAGCGUGGGGAGCAAACAGG